AAACACAUUAUCCUACAACACAGC
This 24-nucleotide non-coding RNA is filed under the name Arabidopsis thaliana (thale cress). The record is from RNAcentral. Lineage: Eukaryota; Viridiplantae; Streptophyta; Magnoliopsida; Brassicales; Brassicaceae.